GGUUAAGCGACUAAGCGUACACGGUGGAUGCCCUGGCAGUCAGAGGCGAUGAAGGACGUGCUAAUCUGCGAUAAGCGUCGGUAAGGUGAUAUGAACCGUUAUAACCGGCGAUUUCCGAAUGGGGAAACCCAGUGUGUUUCGACACACUAUCAUUAACUGAAUCCAUAGGUUAAUGAGGCGAACCGGGGGAACUGAAACAUCUAAGUACCCCGAGGAAAAGAAAUCAACCGAGAUUCCCCCAGUAGCGGCGAGCGAACGGGGAGCAGCCCAGAGCCUGAAUCAGUGUGUGUGUUAGUGGAAGCGUCUGGAAAGGCGCGCGAUACAGGGUGACAGCCCCGUACACAAAAAUGCACAUGCUGUGAGCUCGAUGAGUAGGGCGGGACACGUGGUAUCCUGUCUGAAUAUGGGGGGACCAUCCUCCAAGGCUAAAUACUCCUGACUGACCGAUAGUGAACCAGUACCGUGAGGGAAAGGCGAAAAGAACCCCGGCGAGGGGAGUGAAAAAGAACCUGAAACCGUGUACGUACAAGCAGUGGGAGCACGCUUAGGCGUGUGACUGCGUACCUUUUGUAUAAUGGGUCAGCGACUUAUAUUCUGUAGCAAGGUUAACCGAAUAGGGGAGCCGAAGGGAAACCGAGUCUUAACUGGGCGUUAAGUUGCAGGGUAUAGACCCGAAACCCGGUGAUCUAGCCAUGGGCAGGUUGAAGGUUGGGUAACACUAACUGGAGGACCGAACCGACUAAUGUUGAAAAAUUAGCGGAUGACUUGUGGCUGGGGGUGAAAGGCCAAUCAAACCGGGAGAUAGCUGGUUCUCCCCGAAAGCUAUUUAGGUAGCGCCUCGUGAAUUCAUCUCCGGGGGUAGAGCACUGUUUCGGCAAGGGGGUCAUCCCGACUUACCAACCCGAUGCAAACUGCGAAUACCGGAGAAUGUUAUCACGGGAGACACACGGCGGGUGCUAACGUCCGUCGUGAAGAGGGAAACAACCCAGACCGCCAGCUAAGGUCCCAAAGUCAUGGUUAAGUGGGAAACGAUGUGGGAAGGCCCAGACAGCCAGGAUGUUGGCUUAGAAGCAGCCAUCAUUUAAAGAAAGCGUAAUAGCUCACUGGUCGAGUCGGCCUGCGCGGAAGAUGUAACGGGGCUAAACCAUGCACCGAAGCUGCGGCAGCGACGCUUAUGCGUUGUUGGGUAGGGGAGCGUUCUGUAAGCCUGUGAAGGUGUGCUGUGAGGCAUGCUGGAGGUAUCAGAAGUGCGAAUGCUGACAUAAGUAACGAUAAAGCGGGUGAAAAGCCCGCUCGCCGGAAGACCAAGGGUUCCUGUCCAACGUUAAUCGGGGCAGGGUGAGUCGACCCCUAAGGCGAGGCCGAAAGGCGUAGUCGAUGGGAAACAGGUUAAUAUUCCUGUACUUGGUGUUACUGCGAAGGGGGGACGGAGAAGGCUAUGUUGGCCGGGCGACGGUUGUCCCGGUUUAAGCGUGUAGGCUGGUUUUCCAGGCAAAUCCGGAAAAUCAAGGCUGAGGCGUGAUGACGAGGCACUACGGUGCUGAAGCAACAAAUGCCCUGCUUCCAGGAAAAGCCUCUAAGCAUCAGGUAACAUCAAAUCGUACCCCAAACCGACACAGGUGGUCAGGUAGAGAAUACCAAGGCGCUUGAGAGAACUCGGGUGAAGGAACUAGGCAAAAUGGUGCCGUAACUUCGGGAGAAGGCACGCUGAUAUGUAGGUGAAGUCCCUCGCGGAUGGAGCUGAAAUCAGUCGAAGAUACCAGCUGGCUGCAACUGUUUAUUAAAAACACAGCACUGUGCAAACACGAAAGUGGACGUAUACGGUGUGACGCCUGCCCGGUGCCGGAAGGUUAAUUGAUGGGGUCAGCGCAAGCGAAGCUCUUGAUCGAAGCCCCGGUAAACGGCGGCCGUAACUAUAACGGUCCUAAGGUAGCGAAAUUCCUUGUCGGGUAAGUUCCGACCUGCACGAAUGGCGUAAUGAUGGCCAGGCUGUCUCCACCCGAGACUCAGUGAAAUUGAACUCGCUGUGAAGAUGCAGUGUACCCGCGGCAAGACGGAAAGACCCCGUGAACCUUUACUAUAGCUUGACACUGAACAUUGAGCCUUGAUGUGUAGGAUAGGUGGGAGGCUUUGAAGUGUGGACGCCAGUCUGCAUGGAGCCGACCUUGAAAUACCACCCUUUAAUGUUUGAUGUUCUAACGUUGACCCGUGAUCCGGGUUGCGGACAGUGUCUGGUGGGUAGUUUGACUGGGGCGGUCUCCUCCUAAAGAGUAACGGAGGAGCACGAAGGUUGGCUAAUCCUGGUCGGACAUCAGGAGGUUAGUGCAAUGGCAUAAGCCAGCUUGACUGCGAGCGUGACGGCGCGAGCAGGUGCGAAAGCAGGUCAUAGUGAUCCGGUGGUUCUGAAUGGAAGGGCCAUCGCUCAACGGAUAAAAGGUACUCCGGGGAUAACAGGCUGAUACCGCCCAAGAGUUCAUAUCGACGGCGGUGUUUGGCACCUCGAUGUCGGCUCAUCACAUCCUGGGGCUGAAGUAGGUCCCAAGGGUAUGGCUGUUCGCCAUUUAAAGUGGUACGCGAGCUGGGUUUAGAACGUCGUGAGACAGUUCGGUCCCUAUCUGCCGUGGGCGCUGGAGAACUGAGGGGGGCUGCUCCUAGUACGAGAGGACCGGAGUGGACGCAUCACUGGUGUUCGGGUUGUCAUGCCAAUGGCACUGCCCGGUAGCUAAAUGCGGAAGAGAUAAGUGCUGAAAGCAUCUAAGCACGAAACUUGCCCCGAGAUGAGUUCUCCCUGACUCCUUGAGAGUCCUGAAGGAACGUUGAAGACGACGACGUUGAUAGGCCGGGUGUGUAAGCGCAGCGAUGCGUUGAGCUAACCGGUACUAAUGAACCGUGAGGCUUAACCUU
Molecule: ribosomal RNA, 2904 nt
Filed under: Escherichia coli
Lineage: Bacteria; Pseudomonadati; Pseudomonadota; Gammaproteobacteria; Enterobacterales; Enterobacteriaceae
Description: 23S ribosomal RNA
Rfam family: Bacterial large subunit ribosomal RNA
Source: RNAcentral